Molecule: long non-coding RNA, 398 nt
Filed under: Arabidopsis lyrata
Lineage: Eukaryota; Viridiplantae; Streptophyta; Magnoliopsida; Brassicales; Brassicaceae
Description: long non-coding RNA (ALYR_LNC001499)
Source: RNAcentral
UCUAGAGUAAGAGAAAGAAAGAGAUCUUUCCAACAAAGAUCCAGUAAUCACAAGAUAUUUGCAAAUGUCUCUACUAUUUUUACUUCGUCCAAUAAAACCCAUCACACACCUUCUGAUGCCCUUUUCAUUUGUAACUCACGAGAUGACCGACUCUUGUUUGAACUUGCAACUGAUAAAAGCACUCGAUGACGGUAUAAAGGGGAAAGUAAAACAGAGUCUACUUAUCUCAGAUUCGACACAAGGUAGCAUCUAAGUUCGAGAGAAAAAAAAAGAAGAGAAAAAGAACAAGUUACAAGAUUCGACCAAUUUUGUUCUUUUGUUUUCAGGAGGACAAACCAGAAUAAGUAAAGAGAGAGACUGCUUCUUAGCUGUUUUCAGGGCUGCGAUGGCAUCGGAGA